Long non-coding RNA from Maniola jurtina (meadow brown), 70 nucleotides. RefSeq lists it as uncharacterized. The transcript has 3 exons. Lineage: Eukaryota; Metazoa; Arthropoda; Insecta; Lepidoptera; Nymphalidae. The record is from RefSeq and is a predicted model, not a curated record.
UUUUAUACAGCACGCAAAAUAAGUAGUCCACUCUGAAGUUGCAACAUGGCGGUUUGCGCAGGUCAGACUA